CAGUGGCGCAAGGGUGAGUAAGGCGACGGCAACCAACCCCAGGGUCGGGCAUAGCCGGGGGAAACCCCGGGUAAUUCCCGGCGACGUGGUCGGAGGGCAUCCUCCGGACACCACAGGUGCGAUUCCGCCCUGGGACGGGCCGUCGUGGUAUUAGCUUGUUGGCGGGGUAACGGCCCACCAAGGCUGCGAUACCUACCGGGCGUGCGAGCGUGGCCCGGCACACUGGGACUGAGACACUGCCCAGACUCCUACGGGAGGCUGCAGUCGAGAAUCUUCGGCAAUGGGCGCAAGCCUGACCGAGCGACGCCGCGUGGAGGACGAAGGCCUUCGGGUUGUAAACUCCUGUCGAGGGGGAGGAAGGCGACGCGCAGAGCGUCGCUUGACCGAUCCCUGGAGGAAGCACGGGCUAAGUUCGUGCCAGCAGCCGCGGUAAGACGAACCGUGCGAACGUUAUUCGGAAUCACUGGGCUUAAAGCGCGUGUAGGCGGGCAGGCACGUCGGUCGCUGAAAGCCCCCGGCUCAACCGGGGAAGUGGCGCCGAUACGACCGGCCUGGAGGGGCGUAGGGGGGACUGGAACUUCCGGUGGAGCGGUGAAAUGCGUUGAGAUCGGAAGGAACGCCCGUGGCGAAAGCGAGUCCCUGGACGCCAUC
This 651-nucleotide ribosomal RNA is filed under the name uncultured bacterium. RNAcentral's name for it is "bacterial SSU rRNA". It matches the Rfam family "Bacterial small subunit ribosomal RNA", at positions 93 to 740 of the family's 1533-position model. The record is from RNAcentral.